RNAcentral lists this ribosomal RNA (494 nucleotides) under uncultured bacterium. RNAcentral describes it as "partial 16S ribosomal RNA". It matches the Rfam family "Bacterial small subunit ribosomal RNA", at positions 28 to 506 of the family's 1533-position model. The record is from RNAcentral.
GACGAACGCUGGCGGCGUGCCUAAUACAUGCAAGUAGAACGCUGAAGGAGGAGCUUGCUUCUCCGGAUGAGUUGCGAACGGGUGAGUAACGCGUAGGUAACCUGCCUGGUAGCGGGGGAUAACUAUUGGAAACGAUAGCUAAUACCGCAUAACAGUAGAUAUUGCAUGAUAUCUGCUUGAAAGGUGCAAUUGCAUCACUACCAGAUGGACCUGCGUUGUAUUAGCUAGUUGGUGAGGUAACGGCUCACCAAGGCGACGAUACAUAGCCGACCUGAGAGGGUGAUCGGCCACACUGGGACUGAGGCACGGCCCAGACUCCUACGGGAGGCAGCAGUAGGGAAUCUUCGGCAAUGGACGGAAGUCUGACCGAGCAACGCCGCGUGAGUGAAGAAGGUUUUCGGAUCGUAAAGCUCUGUUGUAAGAGAAGAACGAGUGUGAGAGUGGAAAGUUCACACUGUGACGGUAUCUUACCAGAAAGGGACGGCUAACUACGU